Leopardus geoffroyi (Geoffroy's cat) is the source of this 563-nucleotide long non-coding RNA. RefSeq lists it as uncharacterized. NCBI's taxonomy places the organism in Eukaryota, Metazoa, Chordata, Mammalia, Carnivora, Felidae. The record is from RefSeq and is a predicted model, not a curated record. The transcript has 4 exons.
UAUUUUAUUAUAUGACUUAAUUUGUUCUAAUUGUGAAAGAUUCAGAAAGGCAUUCAUUCGUGUAAACAGAAUACUAAGAUUCCCUCUCUGAAUAUGGAGACCAGAUUACUCAUUUGCUGUGCAAUUCCCAUAGUUCUGUGACCCAUAUCUCAGUGGAUAAUGAUUCACAUAGCAACCCUAUCUGCAAGAUGAGAAAUAUGAGGCACAUCCAGGUUAAGAAACUUAACUAAGUCACACAGAAAAUGGCAGAAUUGGGAAAUCAGCACAGGCAGCCAGAUUCCACAAAUAUUACCUCUCAAUAUGAAAACCCACUUCCAACAGCACUUUUGGCCUCCACAACUUGGAUCUGUAUUGUAACCACCAUUAGACCCUCCUCAGACAUGACAACUGGACUUCUCAGCUGCAUAGAGACCUUUGUAUCAUCUUCAAACUUCUUGUUCCUAUGGUGGUAAGUCCAAGUCCUGAUCUAAUGCUCUGGACAAAUGUCUGUUGAAGCAUGAUGAGGAACAAUUUUGUUUCUUACAAUUUUGAGUACAUACUGGAACUAAGUUAGACAACCUCCC